This 543-nucleotide ribosomal RNA is filed under the name Sphingobium sp. Ar-12. RNAcentral describes it as "bacterial SSU rRNA". It matches the Rfam family "Bacterial small subunit ribosomal RNA", at positions 104 to 682 of the family's 1533-position model. The record is from RNAcentral. Lineage: Bacteria; Pseudomonadati; Pseudomonadota; Alphaproteobacteria; Sphingomonadales; Sphingobiaceae.
GGGUGCGUAACGCGUGGGAAUCUGCCCUUGGGUUCGGAAUAACAGUUGGAAACGACUGCUAAUACCGGAUGAUGACGUAAGUCCAAAGAUUUAUCGCCCAGGGAUGAGCCCGCGUAGGAUUAGCUAGUUGGUGGGGUAAAGGCCUACCAAGGCGACGAUCCUUAGCUGGUCUGAGAGGAUGAUCAGCCACACUGGGACUGAGACACGGCCCAGACUCCUACGGGAGGCAGCAGUAGGGAAUAUUGGACAAUGGGGGCAACCCUGAUCCAGCAAUGCCGCGUGAGUGAUGAAGGCCUUAGGGUUGUAAAGCUCUUUUACCCGAGAUGAUAAUGACAGUAUCGGGAGAAUAAGCUCCGGCUAACUCCGUGCCAGCAGCCGCGGUAAUACGGAGGGAGCUAGCGUUGUUCGGAAUUACUGGGCGUAAAGCGCACGUAGGCGGCGAUUUAAGUCAGAGGUGAAAGCCCGGGGCUCAACCCCGGAACUGCCUUUGAGACUGGAUUGCUAGAAUCUUGGAGAGGCGAGUGGAAUUCCGAGUGUAGAGGU